CUUACGAAAGUUAGACGUUGACAUUUAACAAAAAUGGAUUUCCCUUUGAAAAGACGAAAAAGUGGUCUUGUUGUCAUCCCUUCGAUUUGGAUAGAUGCAGGGAUUCACUUUCUCCCCAUGGAAACUUUGGCAGUUUACGACAUGUUUUUGCGCCUGCCUUUCACCCUUGGCUAGAAAAAAAAAAUAUCUUGUCUCAAAACUUGCUAAGGAAAAGACCGACACCAACCACAUCUUUAGCCUACCUUAAAUCCAAGAAUAACGGUCACAU
Daphnia pulex (common water flea) is the source of this 268-nucleotide long non-coding RNA. RefSeq lists it as uncharacterized. The record is from RefSeq and is a predicted model, not a curated record. Lineage: Eukaryota; Metazoa; Arthropoda; Branchiopoda; Diplostraca; Daphniidae. The transcript has 2 exons.